Molecule: ribosomal RNA, 493 nt
Filed under: uncultured Rhodococcus sp.
Lineage: Bacteria; Bacillati; Actinomycetota; Actinomycetes; Mycobacteriales; Nocardiaceae
Description: bacterial SSU rRNA
Rfam family: Bacterial small subunit ribosomal RNA
Source: RNAcentral
GGCGCAAGCCUGAUGCAGCGACGCCGCGUGAGGGAUGACGGCCUUCGGGUUGUAAACCUCUUUCAGCAGGGACGAAGCGCAAGUGACGGUACCUGCAGAAGAAGCACCGGCCAACUACGUGCCAGCAGCCGCGGUAAUACGUAGGGUGCGAGCGUUGUCCGGAAUUACUGGGCGUAAAGAGCUCGUAGGCGGUUUGUCGCGUCGUCUGUGAAAACCCGCAGCUCAACUGCGGGCUUGCAGGCGAUACGGGCAGACUCGAGUACUGCAGGGGAGACUGGAAUUCCUGGUGUAGCGGUGAAAUGCGCAGAUAUCAGGAGGAACACCGGUGGCGAAGGCGGGUCUCUGGGCAGUAACUGACGCUGAGGAGCGAAAGCGUGGGUAGCGAACAGGAUUAGAUACCCUGGUAGUCCACGCCGUAAACGGUGGGCGCUAGGUGUGGGUUUCCUUCCACGGGAUCCGUGCCGUAGCCAACGCAUUAAGCGCCCCGCCUGGG